CCUACGGGAGGCAGCAGUGGGGGAUAUUGGACAAUGGGGGGAACCCUGAUCCAGCGACGCCGCGUGAGUGAAGAAGUAUCUCGGUAUGUAAAGCUCUAUCAGCAGGGAAGAAGAAAUGACGGUACCUGAGUAAGAAGCCCCGGCUAACUACGUGCCAGCAGCCGCGGUAAUACGUAGGGGGCAAGCGUUAUCCGGAUUUAUUGGGUUUAAAGGGUGCGCAGGCGGAGGUUCAAGUCAGUGGUCAAAUUGCGGGGCUCAACCCCGUCCUGCCGUUGAAACUGCAUCCCUUGAGUGCGCGAGAAGUAUGCGGAAUGCGUGGUGUAGCGGUGAAAUGCAUAGAUAUCACGCAGAACUCCGAUUGCGAAGGCAGCAUACCGGCGCGCAACUGACGCUCAUGCACGAAAGCGUGGGUAUCGAACAGGAUUAGAUACCCCUGUAGUC
This 441-nucleotide ribosomal RNA is filed under the name uncultured bacterium. RNAcentral describes it as "partial 16S ribosomal RNA". It matches the Rfam family "Bacterial small subunit ribosomal RNA", at positions 338 to 795 of the family's 1533-position model. The record is from RNAcentral.